AAGUCGUAACAAGGUCUCCGUUGGUGAACCAGCGGAGGGAUCAUUACCGAGUUACCAACUCCAAACCCUUGUGAUUUUUGUAUCUGUUGCUUCGGCAGGCGGGCCCAGGGCGGGCUCUAUCAUGCCUGCCGAAAGACCAAACUCUUCUAUCCUGCCCUCUGAAGAAAAGACAAAUAGUUAAAACUUUCAACAACGGAUCUCUUGGUUCUGGCAUCGAUGAAGAACGCAGCGAAAUGCGAUAAGUAAUGUGAAUUGCAGAAUUCAGUGAAUCAUCGAAUCUUUGAACGCACAUUGCGCCCGCUAGUAUCCUGGCGGGCAUGCCUGUUCGAGCGUCAUUUCAACCCUCAGGACCUCCUGGUGUUGGGGCGUUAGGGAAACCUAAGCCCUCAAAGUCAGUGGCGGGCUCUGUCACACACCGAGCGUAGUAAUCUCUCGCUUAGGGGUGUGUCGGGGCGCGGCCUACUUAUACUUUUAUCAAGUUGACCUCGGAUCAGGUAGGAAUACCCGCUGAACUUAAGCAUAUCAAUAAGCGGAGGAAAAGAAACCAACAGGGAUUGCCCUAGUAACGGCGAGUGAAGCGGCAACAGCUCAAAUUUGAAAUCUGGCUUCGGCCCGAGUUGUAAUUUGUAGAGGAUGCUUUUGGCGCGGCCCCUUCUAAGUUCCCUGGAACGGGACGCCACAGAGGGUGAGAGCCCCGUACAGUUGGACGCCAAGCCUGUGUAAAGCUCCUUCGACGAGUCGAGUAGUUUGGGAAUGCUGCUCUAAAUGGGAGGUAAAUGUCUCCUAGAGCUAAAUACCGGCCAGAGACCGAUAGCGCACAAGUAGAGUGAUCGAAAGAUGAAAAGCACUUUGAAAAGAGGGUUAAAUAGUACGUGAAAUUGUUGAAAGGGAAGCGCCUGUGACCAGACUUGUGCCCGGUUGAUCAUCCAGCGUUCUCGCUGGUGCACUCUUCCGGCCCAGGCCAGCAUCGGUUUUCGCGGGUGGAUAAAGACGGCGGGAAUGUAGCUCUUCGGAGUGUUAUAGCCCGCCGUGGAAUGCUCCCGUGGGGACCGAGGUACGCGCUCCGCAAGGAUGCUGGCGUAAUGGUCAUCAGCGACC
Molecule: ribosomal RNA, 1098 nt
Filed under: uncultured fungus
Lineage: Eukaryota; Fungi
Description: eukaryotic LSU rRNA
Rfam family: Eukaryotic large subunit ribosomal RNA (bases 481-1098)
Source: RNAcentral